GGGGAUUUAGCUCAGUGGUAGAGCACUUGCCUAGCAAGCGCAAGGCCCUGGGUUCGGUCCCCAGCACCA
Molecule: transfer RNA, 69 nt
Filed under: Rattus norvegicus (Norway rat)
Lineage: Eukaryota; Metazoa; Chordata; Mammalia; Rodentia; Muridae
Rfam family: tRNA
About the family: Transfer RNA (tRNA) molecules are approximately 80 nucleotides in length. Their secondary structure includes four short double-helical elements and three loops (D, anti-codon, and T loops).
Source: Rfam by way of RNAcentral